Long non-coding RNA from Solanum tuberosum (potato), 6272 nucleotides. RefSeq lists it as uncharacterized. NCBI's taxonomy places the organism in Eukaryota, Viridiplantae, Streptophyta, Magnoliopsida, Solanales, Solanaceae. The record is from RefSeq and is a predicted model, not a curated record. The transcript has 2 exons.
CAGUUCCUGUAACAACUAACAUUAUCAUGAGACAAUUUAGCCAAUCGGCAUAAUGCAAAUCGUGUUCAAUACUGCUGCUGCUUCAUCUGAAUGAGUUAGCAGUAAAUGAUAUGGAAACAUAGGACAAUAGACAAUCAUAUGAUACAUAAUCGAAUAAUUGGUUCUCUAACCAAUUUUAACUGGUUAGAUUCCAAGUCUUAAGAAGAAAGCUUACCGUCCACUAUGGUGGGAAUUUUUAUUAACAGUUUUUGUACUUGAAGUAAUUUCACUAAUGUGAAUAAUUCCUAAUGCUCUCUCUCUCUCUCUUCUAACGCUCAAUGUCAUUGAACGGUCUUCUUCCCCUCCCCACCUCCCUUGGACCUAACUCCGGUUGGUGACCACCAGGAGGCUGCACCAGGUAAGUCAUCUUCUCUUCUCUCUCUUCUUCUCAGACCGCUUCUCUCUCCUCUCCACCCCUUCUUCUCUCCUUUGCAGAAACCCUAGCUGCUAAUCUAGGGUCUGCAACAGUCUUCUUCCCUCUAGACUCUAGUUUAUCUCUUUUUCUUCUUUUCUUUUUUCUCUUCACCGAGAACCAUAAACCACCAGCCCGCUGCUGUGGGUUUAGGAUCAGCCACAGUCAUCGCCCCACCUUCUCUGUCCUCUAGUUCUUUUCCUUUUUAGUUGCUUCUUUCCUCUUCUUUUUCUUUUUCUUUUUCUUCUUUCUUUGGGUCUGGUAGUACAGGUGCACACUGAGCAGCGAACAGUAAUCUCCAGUUGCAGGGGCAGCAGCAGUAUGUGUCGGAGCGUGAGCGUCGGCAAAUCAUUUCAGUCUAGACCAGCAGCAGAGCGUAGAUAUCUCCGGCCUACACCCACGUUCUAUCCGCCAGGAGUUGGUACCUCUGGUUGCACUUUUCAACCCUUAUCUUCCGCCCUUGUAGAGAUAUAUAUUGCAGUAGCAUAGUGUAGUGUUGUGCGUAUAUUCCAUUGUCUUAAGACACUUCUCUUUUUGUAGAUUAGUGGUAGUGUUAGUAUCUUGCAACAUAGGAACUCUGACGGGGAAGUGUAUAGAGUUAGUGAAGAUUCUCAAGAAGAGGAAGAUCAGUAUAACUUGUGCUCCGGAGACCAGAUGGGUGGGUUCUAAGGCUAGGGAUGUUAUUGGGUAUAGGUUAUGAUAUGCGGGUGGAAGUUGCCUCUGUGGUGGACAAGAUAUGGGAGGCUAGGCUGACAAGGUUCAGACAUGUCAAGAGGAGAUGUACAAAUGCCCAGUGAGGAGGUGUGGGAGGUUGACACUGGAAGGCAGGAGGGAAGGUAAGGACUAAGGGUAACCGAAGAAGUAUGGGGGAGAAGUGAUGACAUGGCAAGACUUUAGCUUACCAAAGACAUAACCCUUGAUGGGAGGGUAUGGAGGUCGAGGAUUCGGGUAGAAGACUAAAAAUAAAUAGUUUUGCAUAUGGUCUUUCUGGCUAGUAGUAUUAGUAUUAUUUUCGAUAUUUUUAUUAUUUUACUUUUUCUGUAUUGUUAUUAUUUUUCUACUACUUGUCUUGUAUGCCUCUAUUUUCUUACUAUACUGCUAUUGUUUAUGCAUUCAUAAAUGUUGUGUUUAUGCUUUCUCUGAGCCUAAGGUCUUUCGAAAGCUCAGGUAGAGAUAAGGUCUGCGUACACUCUACUCUCCCCUGACCCCAGUCGUAGAACCAUACUGGUAUGUUGUUGUUGUAGUAGUUUUUGUACUUCAUAUUAGGUAGUUACAACUUACAACACCUUUGGAUCUAUAUUUCCUCUUGGUUGGAAUUGAGAUCAAUCAUCGACGAGCUGCCCUCCGGAGCUUCAUUUCUCUUUUAAGAUUUAUAAGCCAACAUCACAUGUUGAUUCAGUCAACCAGGUAUCAUAUCAUAGAUAGAAGGCUUUUUUUUCUCAACUGCCUUAACAUUUAGUUUAAUUUUCAUUUUUUUUUUUAAAUGGUAAUUGUUGCUAUUUCUAUAGCCUAUGUACUGAAACCCGUAUUUACACAAGGAACUCUAAUAAUACCGACUUAUCCCUAUAAUGAAUCUAAGACGUCAAUGAUAGAGACGGUAUCAUUAGAGUAAAUUUGAUUACACCAAAAACACAGAGUCAAAAUGCAAUUCAGUUUAACUUGUUGCAUACUAUUCUCCCUAUUCUCAAAAACUGUAAGGUUCUUCUCUUUCCAUAUUGUCCACCAAAAAUAGUGGCAGGGACAAUUCUCUAGUUACUUCUGUUUUUUGCUUGUGUCCCUGCUUCUUCCCAGCUAUGUAGAGCCUCUGAAAUUCUCCUAGGCAUGGACCAGGAGAUGUUUUUAAGUCUCAGGAACAAAUUCCACAGCUGGCCAGUGACUUCACAUUGGAUGAACAAAUGAUGGACUGUUUCUGCAGUUUUCCCACAGAAAAAAACAUCUAGAGCAAAGUGUAAUUCUCCUCUUCAUUAAAUUCUCCUGUGUCAAUACUGCUUCUUUAGCCAAUAACCACACAAAGCAAGACACCUUGUAGGGGAUCUUGGCUUUCCAUAUAUGUCUCCAGAGCCACUUGAGUAACUGCAGAUUUUGAUGGUUCAACUUCUUGUAUGCUGCACCUACUUUAAAAUCCCUUUACUGUUUCCCAACCACUGCAAUCUGUCCCACCCUAUUUCCAGACCACUAAAUUGAUCAAUGCAUCUAAAAAAUUAUGUUACUCUUGCAAUUUCCUAGUCAUUGAGGUGUCUUCUAAAUACAAAAUUCCACUCUUGAGGAGUCCAUAAGUCAGCUAUAGUACUUUGUUGCUGAAGAACUAAAUUGUGGAUGUCAGGGAAGAGAGUCUCCAUAUUUCCUUUUGCAUGUCAAUCAUCCUUCCAGAAUCUAGUUUUUAUGCCAUCUACCAUUUUGAUCUUGGUGUUAGGUCUGAAUUCAUUCCAAAGUUCUCUAAUGGAUUUCCAUAAGCUAACACCAUAAGGGGUGGUAACCUCCUUUGUCAUCCAACUAUCACUCACUUCAUAUUUUGCCUUUAUGACUGAGCCUUAUAAAUUCUGAUUAUCAUUUGAGUACUUCCAAAGCCACUUCAUCCUCAAAGCUUUGCUCUGGUUCUUCAUGUUCUUGAUCCCCAGACCCCCAACUCUCUUUUCAGUGAUCACAUUAGACCUCUAUCAGUAGCAAUGUUUUCCAUAGCAGCCAGCUUUUCAAGUAAAACUCUCCUCUGUCGGACAAGAUUCCCUUGCUCACUUCUGCUCCACUCCUUCAAUUUGUGUUUCAAGGCUUUUAAUUUGGAUGCAAGGAUGUAAUCAGGCCUCCCAAUAUAAUCAAUAGAGUUCCACCAUAUCCUUACGCUGUCAAUGAAACCUUCAGUCCCUAACCACCAGUUCUCAAACUUAAAAUAGCUCUUGCUCUUCUUCCGGGAACCACCUUGGAGUGUGAUUGGAGAGUGGUCUGACACUAUUCGAUGUAUAGUGUACUGUUUCAAGUUGCUAAAAGCAUCAUCCCAUUCUUGAGAUACCAAGACCCUGUCAAUUCUUGAAGCUAUCAGGUGGUUAUCCCCUUUGAACCAGGUGAACUUUGCAUUUUCCAGUUGAAGAUCAACUAGGUUUAGAUCCUUGAUCAAAUCAGAGAACUCCCGCAUCCCUAUUGUUCUCCUUAUACAGUUCCUCUUUUCUAAGACAUAUCUAGCCUCAUUAAAAUCACCACAAACUGCCCAUGGACCUUCUAUUAAACCUCUGAUAGAGCCAAUUUCUUCCCAUACUGAUCUUCGUUCCACAUAGCAAUUUGGAGCAUAUACUCCUGUUAUAUGGCAUGAGGGUAUAUGUCCCGAUCUCUAAAACUUCCCCUUUCCAUAUUCUACUAUCCCAAAGCAUCAUUAUCCUCCUCUUGUCCCACUAGCUUCCAAACAUGCCAUUCUGAUCCAUCUACCACCCCAAAUUUGCAUUACUAGCCCAGUAAGAUCCCCCUCUAGUUUGGUUUCUUGAAGACAAAUAAUGUCAGCUCUCCGUUUGUCCCUACUGUUCAAACCCCUUAGAUUCCAUGAGACAAGUUUAAAUUGCAUCAAGAAAUAGUUAGGAAGUUUCUCCCCUUAUCUCUACCCCACUUUUGAACUUCACAUCAAAAGCUACAAAAAAUUUCAAUUCAUUAGAGCCCUUGAACCUUGUCUUCUUGUCUGGCUUGUCUGGCACUGUCCACCUGUAGUAACAGUUCCAUAGCUUCCUCUUCAUGACCUUGGAAGUCAGCCCCAAACAAUUUUCCCAGUUUGAUCAAAUUCUGUUUCACCCAAGCAGAAACUUCUCUCUUUUUCUGUGAUUAACAGUUGUUAUUGAGUGUAUAGUGGCUCUGCUUCUUCGACUUCCCAUUCUUCAACAGAGGUCAAAGUUCUUUGGUCUUCAAUAUUGCAUACCUCUUUUUCCUCCCUCCCAAUCAUCACCUCCCCAAUUGGAACUUGUGCCUCUGAUUCUCCCAUAUUUAGCACAGCCACAUCACCCAAAAUACCACUCGAAUCUGUUGUUGUUAUCUCCUUCUCAGUAUUCUGUUGUGCUCCUUGCAAUGUCUUUGGGCAGAACUAUGUUUCUUUAUCUUGAAGAAUCCAAUCUUCUACUGGAUUGGGCUGGGUGGAACUGGAUAUGCUAUUAAAAAUAAAUAGGCUUGUUGGAUCUGGUCCAUUAUACUCUUCAUUUAAUUGUUCUGGCCUAUACCUAAGGCCCAUAAUAGAUUCCUUCAUUAAAGAGGUCACAUGGUUCUCAUAUGACUCAGUGGGUACCACCACAGCUGUCAACUUUCCAUUCCCCACAUGGGUAUUUGUACUAGGAUCCCUAGUAAAAGGGGAUUUUUGUACUGUAGUAGUUACUCCUUAUUAUCACCUGGUCCAUAACAUACCCUGCUUUCAAAUUGUUAUCUUCUUCUCCGGCGAGAUUCAAAACUUUUUCUAGCAAGAUUUCAUAUCUUGCUUUGCCUUCAACCCAUACCAGAAAAUGGUAUCUGAUUCCGCCACGCGAAAUCGAAACCUCUUUCGGUAUAUUUCUACCACUGUUUGCAACCAAAAUUCUUGCCCACUUCAUAUGGUUCUUCAACUCUGUCUCCUCUUCCAUUGCCACCCAACCAUGAACCACCACAGAGUUGCCCUAUUUCUUCAAAUACUUGUUGUGACCACAGAUGUAGGGGGAUCCCUAUAAUUUUUAUUCCAAGUUUUUUUAACUUCCACAGAGUUCGGCAUGCAGCCUACAACUGGGCUCCACCAUUCUAGGUUGAAACUUAGGUUUCUCCAUUUCCACUAACCUUGAAGAGUUUGUUCCGCCAUGAAUUUAUUGGGAAAUUCUGAUUUCAGACAAAGAAGGUUUCUCUUUGCUGGCCUUCUCCAGAUACCCUACAAGACACCUACCCAAAAGCCCAUCCUCUUGCUUUUCUGCUGAGCUUGUCUCCUUGUGGGUUUUUUAUAGCCAUUUGCUGUCCCUUACAGCCUUUGAGUAGGGGUAUCCGGAGUUUACAAGUCUUGGUAAACUCGUUGGUAUCGACCUUUUGGUGCAUUUAAUGAAGUUUUCUAUCUUAAAUGCUAAAUCGUACCAUCCAGCAUUCAAGACUGGUUCUGGAAUAAUGUUAACAGAUCUACCCCCCACAUUAAUGGCUACAAUGCUCAUAUAUCUCUCAUAUUCAUUAUGUUUCCUAGUGCAGAAGUAUUCCUUUUUUCUUUCAGUAUAUCUCCAUCUCCUUGUGACUUUCUUAUGAUCAGUGGAAGCUUCUCUUAGCAGGAAACAGAUCCAUUCCAUCACCUUACUGCUCACGGUAGUUCUUCACAUCAUUCUUCGACUUCUUUCCACCCACUCAUACCAAACAGAGCCUUCAUCAUUCCAUUUGGUAAUAUCAAAAGACUUGAAACUAGCAUUAAAAUAAAUCCUAUUUUCCCCCAUGGCCUGACUAAGCAAGAGAGUAGAAAGAAAAGAAGAAUAAUCACAUGAGGUAAUUACCAGAGGCAAUAGGUGUGCGGAAGGAAUUCUGGCGGAAGGGUGCUGGAGGAGAGAGGGCUCUCCCACCUAGGAGGAGGAGAGAGAACUGCCUCGAGAACUGUGCCAGAGAGCAUUUCUAAUUUAACUUUGUUAACUGUAGUUUAAUUUUCAUUUUGUGGAUGAUGUAAAUGAUAUUUUGGAUUUCAUAGGUUCUGUAGAUUUGUUAUUGGGAUGGCUUUACUCCUUCUGUUAUUCACAGCAUUUCCUUAGUGCUGAGUUUGGUGAAUAAUAUAAAGUUACGUUUCUUUGUUCAGCAGUGAAUAAUGCAAAAAAGAAUUACUUAACAAGAAAUCAAAGUUACCUGUUUCAAAAAAAAAAAAAAUACUUAA